UACGGAGGAUCCGAGCGUUAUCCGGAUUUAUUGGGUUUAAAGGGUGCGCAGGCGGGAGAUUAAGUCGGCGGUGAAAUUUUGCGGCUCAACUGUAAAAGUGCCUUCGAAACUGGUUUCCUUGAGUGUAGAUGAAGUAGGCGGAAUUUGUGGUGUAGCGGUGAAAUGCAUAGAUAUCACGAGGAACUCCGAUUGCGCAGGCAGCUUACUAGACUACUACUGACGCUCAGGCACGAAGGCGUGGGGAUCAAACAGGAUUAGAUACCCGGGUAGUCCCU
RNAcentral lists this ribosomal RNA (275 nucleotides) under uncultured prokaryote. RNAcentral's name for it is "partial 16S ribosomal RNA". It matches the Rfam family "Bacterial small subunit ribosomal RNA", at positions 524 to 798 of the family's 1533-position model. The record is from RNAcentral.